Molecule: ribosomal RNA, 850 nt
Filed under: uncultured bacterium
Lineage: Bacteria
Description: bacterial SSU rRNA
Rfam family: Bacterial small subunit ribosomal RNA
Source: RNAcentral
AAGUCGAACGAGGUGGCCCACAGAAUUUGAUAGAAACUUUGAGAGCUUGCUCGAGAAGUGGAAAGAGAAGGACGUGGAAUUUCCACCUAGUGGCAAACGGGUGAGUAACACGUGGGUUACCUACCUCUUAGAUGGGGAUACCAAUUGGAAACGAUUGUUAAUACCGAAUGUGAUCUACGGAUUAAAGGAAGCCUUUAAAGCUUCGCUAAGAGAUGGGCCUGCGGUGCAUUAGAUAGUUGGUGGGGUAAGAGCCUACCAAGUCAACGAUGCAUAGCUGAACUGAGAGGUUGAUCGGCCACACUGGGACUGAGACACGGCCCAGACUCCUACGGGAGACAGCAGUUAGGAAUAUUCGUCAAUGGGGGAAACCCUGAACGAGCAAUGCCGCGUGAACGAUGACGGUCCUCUGGAUUGUAAAGUUCUAUUGUUUGGGAAGAACGGCUCUAAUAGGAAAUGAUUAGAGAUUGACUGUACCAUUCAAGAAAGCCACGGCUAACUACGUGCCAGCAGCCGCGGUAAUACGUAGGUGGCGAGCGUUAUCCGGAUUUAUUGGGCGUAAAGCGUCCGCAGCCGGUUUAUUAAGUAUAGAAUAAAACUUCGGGGCUCAACCCCGUCUCGUUCUAUAAACUGAUAGACUAGAGUGUGGUAGAGGCAAGUGGAAUUUCUAGUGUAGCGGUAGAAUGCGUAGAUAUUAGAAGGAACACCAGUGGCGAAGGCGACUUGCUGGGCCAUCACUGACGGUCAGGGACGAAAGCGUGGGGAGCGAAUAGGAUUAGAUACCCUAGUAGUCCACGCCGUAAACGAUGAGCACUAAGUGUCGGGCAACCGGUGCUGAAGUUAACACAUUAAG